This 369-nucleotide ribosomal RNA is filed under the name uncultured eukaryote. Its description in RNAcentral is "SSU rRNA". It matches the Rfam family "Eukaryotic small subunit ribosomal RNA", at positions 592 to 964 of the family's 1831-position model. The record is from RNAcentral.
CAAUAGCGUAUAUUAAAGUUGUUGCGGUAAAAAAGCUCGUAGUUGGAUUUCUGUCGAAAACGAGCGGUCCACACAACGUGUGCGCAUCUGCUUCGGUUUUGACAUCCUUCCGAAAGACGACUCUGCGCUUGAUUGCGUGGAUCGGAUUCCGGGACUUUUACUUUGAGGAAAUUAGAGUGUUCACGGCAGGCUAUCGCCAGAAUACAUUAGCAUGGAAUAAUACUAUAGGAUCUUGAUCCUAUUUUGUUUGGUUUCUAGGAGCAAGAUAAUGAUUAAUAGGGACAAUUGGGGGCGAUUCGUAUCAACACGUCAGAGGUGGAAUUCUUGGAUUGUGUUGCGACGAACUACUGCGAAAGCAUUUGCCAAGGA